CAGGAUGAACGCUAGCGACAGGCUUAACACAUGCAAGUCGAGGGGCAGCAUAAAAGUAGCAAUACUUGGUGGCGACCGGCGCACGGGUGAGUAACGCGUAUGCAACCUACCUAUCAGGAGGGGAAUAACCCGGCGAAAGUCGGACUAAUACCGCAUAAAACAGGGGCACCGCAUGGUGAUAUUUGUUAAAGAAAUUCGCUGAUAGAUGGGCAUGCGUUCCAUUAGGUAGUUGGUGAGGUAACGGCUCACCAAGCCGACGAUGGAUAGGGGAACUGAGAGGUUGGUCCCCCACACUGGUACUGAGACACGGACCAGACUCCUACGGGAGGCAGCAGUGAGGAAUAUUGGUCAAUGGGCGGGAGCCUGAACCAGCCAAGUCGCGUGAAGGAAGAAGGAUCUAUGGUUCGUAAACUUCUUUUGCAGGGGAAUAAAGUGCAGGACGUGUCCUGUUUUGUAUGUACCCUGAGAAUAAGGAUCGGCUAACUCCGUGCCAGCAGCCGC
RNAcentral lists this ribosomal RNA (501 nucleotides) under uncultured bacterium. RNAcentral's name for it is "bacterial SSU rRNA". It matches the Rfam family "Bacterial small subunit ribosomal RNA", at positions 25 to 518 of the family's 1533-position model. The record is from RNAcentral.